CAGUAGCCACGGGAAUACGAAGGGUGCAAGCGUUAAUCGGAAUUACUGGGCGUAAAGCGCGCGUAGGUGGUUCAUUAAGUUGGAUGUGAAAGCUCUGGGCUCAACCUGGGAACUGCAUCCAAAACUGGUGAGCUAGAGUACGGUAGAGGGUAGUGGAAUUUCCUGUGUAGCGGUGAAAUGCGUAGAUAUAGGAAGGAACACCAGUGGCGAAGGCGACUACCUGGACUGAUACUGACACUGAGGUGCGAAAGCGUGGGGAGCAAACAGGAUUAGAUACCCCCGUAGUCCCUGUCUCUUAUAC
This 301-nucleotide ribosomal RNA is filed under the name uncultured bacterium. RNAcentral describes it as "partial 16S ribosomal RNA". It matches the Rfam family "Bacterial small subunit ribosomal RNA", at positions 509 to 807 of the family's 1533-position model. The record is from RNAcentral.